UACGGAGGGUGCAAGCGUUAUCCGGAUUUACUGGGUUUAAAGGGUGCGUAGGCGGGCAUGUAAGUCAGUGGUGAAAUACCGGAGCUUAACUUCGGAACUGCCAUUGAUACUAUAUGUCUUGAAUAUUGUGGAGGUAAGCGGAAUAUGUCAUGUAGCGGUGAAAUGCAUAGAUAUGACAUAGAGCACCGAUUGCGGAGGCAGCUUGCUACGCAAAUAUUGACGCUGAGGCACGAAAGCGUGGGGAGCAAACAGG
This 253-nucleotide ribosomal RNA is filed under the name uncultured bacterium. RNAcentral describes it as "partial 16S ribosomal RNA". It matches the Rfam family "Bacterial small subunit ribosomal RNA", at positions 524 to 776 of the family's 1533-position model. The record is from RNAcentral.